AGAUUGAACGCUGGCGGCAUGCCUUACACAUGCAAGUCGAACGGCAGCACGGGAGCAAUCCUGGUGGCGAGUGGCGAACGGGUGAGUAAUACAUCGGAACGUGCCCAAUCGUGGGGGAUAACGCAGCGAAAGCUGUGCUAAUACCGCAUAAGAUCUACGGAUGAAAGCAGGGGAUCGCAAGACCUUGCGCGAAUGGAGCGGCCGAUGGCAGAUUAGGUAGUUGGUGAGGUAAAGGCUCACCAAGCCUUCGAUCUGUAGCUGGUCUGAGAGGACGACCAGCCACACGUGGGACUGAGACCGACGGCCCAGACCUCCGUACGGGAGCAGCAGGUGGGGUAAUUUGGACAAGUGGGACGAAAGCCUGAUCCAGCCAUCGGCCGCGUGCGAGGAGUGAACGGUCCGUU
Molecule: ribosomal RNA, 404 nt
Filed under: uncultured soil bacterium
Lineage: Bacteria
Description: bacterial SSU rRNA
Rfam family: Bacterial small subunit ribosomal RNA
Source: RNAcentral